UGGUCAAGUUAUUAAGGGUGCAGGGCGGAUGCCUUGGCACUAGGAGCCGAUGAAGGACGUGAUAAGCUGCGAUAAGCUUCGGGGAGUUGCACGUAAACUUUGAUCCGAAGAUUUCCGAAUGAGGAAACUCACUUAGAGUAAUGUCUAAGUAUCAUUAAGUGAAUACAUAGCUUAAUGAGGGGAACUCAGGGAACUGAAACAUCUAAGUACCUGAAGGAAGAGAAAGAAAUUCGAUUCCGUAAGUAGCGGCGAGCGAACGCGGAUUAGCCCAAACCAAUAAAGUUUUCUUUAUUGGGGUUGCGGA
Molecule: ribosomal RNA, 304 nt
Filed under: Clostridioides difficile
Lineage: Bacteria; Bacillati; Bacillota; Clostridia; Peptostreptococcales; Peptostreptococcaceae
Description: partial 23S ribosomal RNA
Rfam family: Bacterial large subunit ribosomal RNA
Source: RNAcentral